AAAAAGAAAAAGCAUCUAAAAAAGUAAAAAAAAAAAUGUUCUUCAUCUUGACUGGAUUUUUUUACCACUCUCAAACGUCUCUCACUCUCAAUUCUGAGACUCAAACUCUCUCUUCUCUUUCACUUUCACUUCCACUAGCCCACUAGAGUCUCUCUGUCUCACUGGAGUCUGUCUCAGUCACACUUGCUGGCGCCUCGUCGUUCGCCUCGCCUCAUCGCUGGGGUCUCGUUGCGGCCUUCCCUGGGCUUCUCGUCGUCGGCGACAGAAGCAACUCGUCGGGUCGUUGUGGCUUGUAGUCUUCUGGUUUCGGGUCCUCGCCGUCGCCGACGCCGUCGCUCAUCGCUUGGGUUUCAGGUAUUUUUAGGAAUUCUUUGCACAGGAGGCGCGCCACUGGUGAAAAGGUAGUCUGGAGGAAGAAGAGAAAGUAUGCUUUCACUCUUCUUCCAAUUCUCUGUGUUUUCCUUAAUUUUUGUUUUUUUUUCCGAAGUGCCUUAGUUUCUGUUAGUUUCAAAAUCAAAUUCCCCCAAAUUUCAACGCUCGUCCGAAUUUCAACCCAAAUCCGUGGUCCAUAUUCAAUCCUCUGUCUGAAUUUCACAUUUAUUUUUUAGUUGUUUUUAUGAAGAUUCAUUCAUUUGUGCUAAGUGAUUUCAAUUAGUUUGUAAGUUUUUAUUACUGCAGAACUAACUUUCAGACAAAAAGGCCAAGUUCCUAAUUGUUUACAAGUGAUUAUAUUCCCUGUACAAAGUGCACAGAAUAUAAGAACUUAAGUAAUACUUUAUGUCACUAUCUAGCUAUUUUUUGUAAAAUGAGUUGAGGAACUUUAAUUUGCUUUUAAAAUAAUAAAAAUAAUUUCCAGCUAUAUAGAGCAGACCAAAAAAUACUUAAUAUACUAAUCUAAUUCCUUUGAACAAACUAGGGUCCCUGUGCUUGAAAAUUUUCCGUUUGAUGUUAACCGACGUAGACUUAAUUAUUUAAGUGUCAUUCUCUGUUCCUGCAUGUGCUUUCUUUCUUUCUUUUUAUCCGUGCCUAUAUUGUGAGUUUUAACACUGUAUGAUAGCACCAUAGAUUUUUGUGAAGAGUAUAUAAUAGAGAGAGGCCACUUGAUGUAUAGUGUAACUCAUUGUAGAGAGAAGGCUAUGAUUCUGAUUUCUUCUUUUAUGAUCAAUAACAAAUCACAAAACUUAAUUCCUUUUUUUCUAUAGUUUAUUGCUUUCUAUCUUUCUAAUUCAAGAUAGUUCCACUUAGUUUUCUUGCCAAAACUGAUAAGCAGCAACUCCAUGACCUGCCAGUUGUAACGAAUUUUAUUUAUAAUACCUAGCAGCCUCUUGAGUAUUUCUCUGACUUCUUUUAUGUUGGUGCAUUAGUUCUUUUAAUCAGCAUUGUAGAACUUGAAAGUGAGUUUGGCAUUUUUCUAUCAGAUAGAGAAGUACUUAUUUAUUUGCUACUCUAUUAAACUUGAAAGUAUCAUGUGUAAUUUAAACCUAUGCUUGCAGAUGAAUCAAUUUCUUGGAGGUGGUAUCCUUGACUACUCUUCAGGAUCAUUGCCACUUGGACUGCACAAUCAUAUAGAACUCCCUUCAAACAAAAGUUCUUAUUAUAAACACACAUUUAAUGCUUUCUUGACUUUUUCUUCUAGUUGAGUAGGUUUUGUAAGGCAUAUUUUACUUUAAUUUCAUAUAGGCAUUUGAUUUGUUAUAGUUGAUGCCUUGAUGCUAUUAAGGUCAAUGAUUGAUUCAGUUCUUAGCUAUUGAUUUUUCAAAAAGAAUUUGCCGGAAAAAUUUCUUUGCUGAGCUAUUGAUUCAGUUCUUGGCUAUUGAUUUUUGUUGUUGGAUCUCAACAACAAAAGGUUCAAUUCUGACAUUGGCGUACAUGGCCAAGCAAAUGUUCCAUCAUUUGCGACUCAUCAUGAUGUUCAUCCACCAGCACUACCUAUGCAUUUGUUUCAAGGUGUUCUUUCCAAGGGCAAUAUGCUAACUUACAACCAAGUCAUGGAAGUAAGUUGCAAGAAAUUUCAGAAGGAUAGUACUGAUGACUCAAACCAUCGUUCAGGAUCAAAUGCAUCAGACAAUAAGCCUUUUUAUAACUUCUUAGAAGUUAAGGAUCCAGAGUGGGGGAAGGAUGCACCUGGAUGGAUCACAUCUCGGGCGGCGCGAAGCAGGACGCUACGGCCUUGAUCUUAGCUUGAAGCUUUGAUUCUAGCAGGAAACUGUGAAUCAGUAACAAUGGCUAUUAUGAGUAUGCAUUUAUAAUGGUUUUCUGCUUGAAAUCCAACAAUGUUAACAAGCUAAGAAAAAGUGAAUAGUUUCCUAGUCUUGGUUGAGGCCAAGGUAACUCGGAAUUAAAGAUAGAAGGGACUUGUUACAUUGGAGACCAUGCCUUUGGAUUCAAGGAAACUGGAAAUCAAAGAUAAGAAGAAAUCUUGCAUGGGGAUUUCAUUUGACCUAUCUUAAUUUCGAUAGUUAUGGUUUUAUUUUAUUUGAGACUUUUAAUUUGGUUACAUUACAUGUAAUUCUAUAGUUGCUCUAUAGUCUUAGUAAUGAAAUUUUAAAUUCGAUGACA
Non-coding RNA from Arachis ipaensis, 2559 nucleotides. NCBI's taxonomy places the organism in Eukaryota, Viridiplantae, Streptophyta, Magnoliopsida, Fabales, Fabaceae. The record is from RefSeq and is a predicted model, not a curated record.